GGCUUCCAUGAUCAGAACAAGACUUUUUAGCCAAUGUGCUAUCUGCAUUUAUUUUACUACAAAGAGUAAGAAACAAUUUUGCAGUCAUAAAAAAAAUUAUUAAAAAUUAAUUUUAAAAGAAAAGCGAUACAUGCAUACAUAUUCAUAUAUUAUUAUUAUAACAAAUGUUAAAAAUACAUGAGAAAAAAGCAUAAUAGCAAAUAAUCAACAAUGGUUGUUUUGGAUGAUGUUGGUGAAUGCUUACUAAAUAUUUCCUGGAGCCAGAUGGUUUACCUGAAUGACUUAUUUCAUCUCACAGCAACCCUAUGGUAUAGUUAGUAUUAACGUCGUCUCUAUUCUUCAAUUGUAGAAACUGAGGCACAGGCAAGUACAUUAACAUUCCCAAGGUCAUACAGUUAGUUCAUGGCACAGCUAGGAUAUGAACUUAGUCUAUUAGACCCUAAAAAUCUGUGCUCCAAACCAUUACACAUUCUUCCAAAGACGUGGUAUUUUAUUCCUUCUACUUCCCCAUUUUUUUAUAUAAUAAGCAUGCUUUACUUUUACAACGAAAAAAAAUUUAAGAUUCUCCAUAUUUCUUAUUUGUCAUGUAGAAAAAUAAAAUAGUGUUUAAGGGUCAAUACAUCAAAUUCAAGGUGAUGUACAAAAUAUAUCCUAAAAUUACAGCCUGCUUUUUAGAAUUCUGCUUUGCCUGAAUAAAAAUUGAAUUGUCCAUUUCUUGCUGAGACUGUUUUCAGAGAACAGGCAAAUGCAUAUGUCUUGAUGGAAUGACCCACACCUUGGAAAGAUAGCCUACUGUGACUGCAUCUGCAAUCUGAAGCAUAAUUAUCAAAAGAAUUAAACUAGAAAAAGAAAAAUACAGUGGCAUGAAAUAUGAAGUACAUGGUUUGAAAAAAAAUUAAUGGUGAAGCCAUUUUAUCUUUUUAACAUCAUUAUUUAAUCCUAUUUAAGUUUCUAAAUAUAUUUCUGGGAAAAAUACGUCAUUUAAAAAGUAUGGAUUUUGUGGGCCAGCCCAGUGGUGCAGCAGUUAAGUUCGCACGUUCUGCUUCUCGCUGGCCCGGGGUUCGCUGGUUUGUAUCCCGGGUGUGGACAUGGCACCACUUGGCAAAAGCCAUGCUGUGGUAGGUGUCCCACAUAUAAAGUAGAGGAAGACAGGCAGGGAUGUUAGCUCAGGGCCAGUCUUCCUCAGCAAAAAGAGGAGGAUUGGCAUUAGUUAGCUCAGGGCUA
RNAcentral lists this long non-coding RNA (1224 nucleotides) under Equus caballus (horse). RNAcentral's name for it is "lncRNA (ENSECAG00000053407.1)". Lineage: Eukaryota; Metazoa; Chordata; Mammalia; Perissodactyla; Equidae. The record is from RNAcentral.